AGGGCUUCGGCCCCGGUACAGUGGCGCACGGGUGAGUAACACGUAGAUCAUCUCCCCUCGAGUGGUGGAUAACUCUCCGAAAGGAGAGCUAAUACAGCAUAAGACCACGGCUUCGCUGAAGCUGCGGCCAAAGCAGGCCUCUACACGUAAGCUUGCGCUUGAGGAUGAGUCUGCGGCCCAUCAGCUAGUUGGUAGGGUAAUGGCCUACCAAGGCUAAGACGGGUAGCUGGUCUGAGAGGAUGAACAGCCACACUGGAACUGAGACACGGUCCAGACUCCUACGGGAGGCAGCAGUGGGGAAUCUUGCGCAAUGGGCGAAAGCCUGACGCAGCGACGCCGCGUGAGCGAUGAAGGCCUUCGGG
RNAcentral lists this ribosomal RNA (362 nucleotides) under uncultured bacterium. RNAcentral's name for it is "bacterial SSU rRNA". It matches the Rfam family "Bacterial small subunit ribosomal RNA", at positions 74 to 422 of the family's 1533-position model. The record is from RNAcentral.